This 470-nucleotide ribosomal RNA is filed under the name uncultured bacterium. RNAcentral's name for it is "bacterial SSU rRNA". It matches the Rfam family "Bacterial small subunit ribosomal RNA", at positions 331 to 793 of the family's 1533-position model. The record is from RNAcentral.
UGUGACUCCUACGGGAGGCAGCAGUGGGGAAUAUUGCACAAUGGGGGAAACCCUGAUGCAGCCAUGCCGCGUGUGUGAAGAAGGCCUUCGGGUUGUAAAGCACUUUCAGUAGGGAGGAAGGUAGUGUAGUUAACACCUGCACUAUUUGACGUUACCUACAGAAGAAGCACCGGCUAACUCCGUGCCAGCAGCCGCGGUAAUACGGAGGGUGCGAGCGUUAAUCGGAAUUACUGGGCGUAAAGCGCAUGCAGGCGGCCUGUUAAGUCAGAUGUGAAAGCCCCGGGGCUUAACCUCGGAAUUGCAUUUGAAACUGGCAGGCUAGAGUCUUGUAGAGGGGGUAGAAUUUCAGGUGUAGCGGUGAAAUGCGUAGAGAUCUGAAGGAAUACCAGUGGCGAAGGCGGCCCCCUGGACAAAGACUGACGCUCAGAUGCGAAAGCGUGGGGAGCAAACAGGAUUAGAUACCCUGGUAG